RNAcentral lists this long non-coding RNA (796 nucleotides) under Ursus thibetanus thibetanus. RNAcentral's name for it is "lncRNA (ENSUTTG00000016023.1)". The record is from RNAcentral. Lineage: Eukaryota; Metazoa; Chordata; Mammalia; Carnivora; Ursidae.
UACACAUACUACAUACAUUGUUAAGGAAGCAUAUUGCUUUGCAUUUUUAAUGCAUAGAUGCAUUAAAAAAACAUACUUAAGUAUGGCUACAUCGUUAUAAUUCCAAGAGCAUUUCAGAAAGCUGUCUCUAUAGAAAAUAUUUUCCUACAAAUGUGGUAAUUACUAAGGAGAAUAUUUAACAUUGAUUAAAAAUGCCAGGAACUCUUGCUUUAAAGGGCAAUUUCUGAAGUUUAUGAAAACUUAAACUGAACGGGGGAAAUGACCAUGAGGAUUCAUAUCAUUGGUUUUACGUAGUUUCAUGACUUUUCCCUUGUAUAUUGAAGCUGAUAAGAGAAAUGGGCUGGCUGGGAUGAGGGAACUCGGAGGGGCAAACUGAGCCCUUUCCUCCUUCACAUCUAGCUUCUUUGCUAGAGAGACGACCGAGAACUAGAGAGAAGCACCUGCAGAUGUCCUUACACAGCUGGCCAGGGUCCAGAGCGGAGAAUUGGACCUGAAGAGACAAUGGUUCAUGUGAGCUGGUUCCAUCCAAGGCUGGGCAGAGCACCAGCACAGGGCCAGGAAACCUGGACUACCUGGUAACAGAUUCUGCAGAGAUUUCCGGGUGACUGAGUGGAGAGUGCAGACUCCAGGAGGUGAGUUAUCUGUGGAUUAGACUGGACUUCAUGAUAAGAGAGCAGUUUUCCCCAUGGAAGACUAGAGGCAUAGCAUCAAGAAUUGCAGCUCAGGUUGAGUGAAGACUGGGCAGAAAGGGCAGAUGUUUAGAGCUAGAAGAUUGUUUAACCCUUGCAGGUAAGAU